This 195-nucleotide microRNA precursor is filed under the name Oryza meridionalis. Its description in RNAcentral is "MIR812 microRNA precursor family". It matches the Rfam family "MIR812 microRNA precursor family". Lineage: Eukaryota; Viridiplantae; Streptophyta; Magnoliopsida; Poales; Poaceae. The record is from Rfam by way of RNAcentral.
AUUGAGUAUAGUUGUGGGAUUAUAUAUCCAACGUUUAAUCGUCCGUCUUAUUUGAAUUUUUUUUUAUGAUUAGUAUUUUUAUUGUUAUUAGAUGAUAAAACUUGAAUAGUACUUUAUGCGUGACUUUUUUUUUUAUUUUUCAUAAACUUUUCAAAUAAGACAGGCGUUAGACACGAAAAUCCUACUGGACUUAAA